UUUUCUGGGCACUCGGCAAAGUCUUUGCCGAGUGCCCGACACAAAACACUCGGCGAAUCAGUGUUUGCCGUCAAGAUUUUUGCCGAGUGUUACACUCGGCAAACGCUUUGCCGAGUGUUUUUUGGACUUCGCCGAGUGCCCCUGGCACUCGGCAUCUUUCCUGUUUCCCGUAGUGAGCUAUACUGGCAUGCAUGCAGGUU
Molecule: long non-coding RNA, 200 nt
Filed under: Setaria italica (foxtail millet)
Lineage: Eukaryota; Viridiplantae; Streptophyta; Magnoliopsida; Poales; Poaceae
Description: long non-coding RNA (SITA_LNC001058)
Source: RNAcentral